Molecule: long non-coding RNA, 16097 nt
Filed under: Arabidopsis lyrata
Lineage: Eukaryota; Viridiplantae; Streptophyta; Magnoliopsida; Brassicales; Brassicaceae
Description: long non-coding RNA (ALYR_LNC000691)
Source: RNAcentral
UUUAUAUUAUGAAAAUAAUACUCGAAAAGCUUUACAAUAUUUGAUAACCCAAGGUACAUAAUUACCAACAAAAACCAAACCUAAAAUCUCUGUUGGAAUUCAUAAAACCAAGAAAAAAAAGCGACAAUUAUUGAUCAAAACAUAGUUAAAGAUAUAUGGAAAAACUCAUGAGAAUUAGGAAAAAAUGGAGAAAAAAGCUAAGGAAGAGGUUUGGUUGUUGUUGAGGCAAGAGCAGGCAUGUCCUUGAGCCACUGGUCCAAUGGCUUACCAAUGGAGUAAACAAUAAAUCCAAUCUGCCUGAGUUUAUCAGCGUCGACCACGUUUCUACCGUCAAAAACAAAAGCCGGUUUCUGCAUAUUCUCAAAGAUCCGUUGGAAAUCGAGUUUCUUGAACUCAUCCCACUCGGUUAAAAUGCAGAUACCUGGGCGCCCAUGCUAAUUGAAAAAGUGGAGUCAUAUAUAUACACUUUAGAUCAAGAUAUCAGAAACCCUUAAAUGAAAUCUGUGAUAACAAAGCACUAUCAAAUGAAAAAUAGUAUUAAGGUACGAAAGAAAGGAAUGAAAUUAUGUAGAUAACAACAGCGUGGCAUCUUGUGAGUAUGUGCAAGUCAAACACACAUAACAGGAAGAUGAUGGAUGAUAUAUUUGUAAAAGUGGAUGUUGUUCAUAGUAAAGCAAAGAAAAUAACCGCGGAUGGAAAAGUCACAAACCAGCUCCAUCAGGGUAAAUAGACUGGCUUUUACAUAUGUAGGUAAAAAUUUUUUUAUGGUAUUUGCCUUAAAAGAAUCAUUUAGAUCAGCUUGUUUCAUUACAUUAAGUUCACAAGUUAGUAUUCAUUCUUUAACAAAUUUUGAAGCAAUCCGCUAAUGGCCCGGGGUACGUAUUAUCAGCCUAUCAUCAUCUCUUGCUUCAUCAUAAAAGAGUUUGAGAGCACAAAUUAAGGCCCAAUUAUUGGUAGCCCAAAGAGUUUACUACUUUUCCUUAGACUAGAGCAAAGACAAACGACGUCGUUUGGGUGUAAGAAGAAAAUUGCCAAAGAUUUUGAAAACCUAGAAUCGUGAGCUCAGCCUGCUCGUCUUCUUCCUCUGUUUUUGUCUCUCUUACUCAGAUCUCAAAAAGAGCUUCUUUAUUUUUUUUUUCCUUCCUUUCCUUAGAAAAAAGAGUAAAUUUUUAUCAAAAUUUCCAGCUCUGAUAUAAAAGUUUGUGAAAUUAGUAGCUAUUGUUAUGUCUCUAGCUCUGAUUUCAUCUUUUCAAUGGAAGAAAAAGUCGUCAAAGGCAAUGAGAAGAAGACGAGGGGACGAUUGGUUCGCAUCGGAGAUUCCUUUGGAUCUCCAGAUCGAGAUUCUGAUUAGAUUGCCUGCUAAAUCGCUGAUGAGGUUCAAGUGCGUUUCAAAGCUCUGGUUUUCUCUUAUCCGUUGUCGAUAUUUUAGCAAUCGUUAUCUUACGGUGGCUUCCCCACCGCGAGCACCUCGUCUAUACAUGAGUUUGGUGGACCACAUCCAGUGUAAUUCAAUGGAAGUCUGCUAUAACCCUCGCGAGUCUGUAUUGCUAUCAUUAUCAUCAUCGUCUAGUACUGAUGCAAAGUCUUUCCACCAAGAUUUGACAAUGCCAGGGAUGGGAGGACGCAACAUGAUGAUUCUUCGCGGCUUGAUUCUAUACAUUGUUUGCAGAAAGGCGUGUAUCUAUAAUCCCACCACCAGACAAUGUGUAACCUUACCCGCCGUCCAAUCCAACAUUUUUGCUCAAGAAGAUUAUCAUAAGAGUGUCCUCUACUUUUUAGGACACGAUCCUGUUCUUGAUCAAUACAAAGUAGUUUGCACUGUUGCAGUAUCCUCAAAAAGGUUUAAGAGGAUAACCUCAGAGCAUUGGGUCUUCGUACUAGAACCCGGAGGUUCGUGGAAAAGAAUUGAGUUUGAUCUACCUCAUUGUCCUGCACGACUAGGACUGUGCAUCAACGGAGUCAUAUAUUUUUUGGCUUCCGCUUGUAUGUCUAGCGAUAUCCUUGUCAGUUUUGAUGUUAUGUCUGAAGAGUUCAAAUGGAUCCAAGGACCUCCUGUCGCGUCUGCAUUUAAGCCCAUGGGUUUUAUAGAGUAUCUUGGAAAACCAUCUGUUUUUGAUCAUUCCCAUCUUAAACGCAAAGGUUCCGUGGACUUAUGGGUCUUGGAAGAUGCUGGAAAAUGGUCGAAGAAAUCCCUGGUUUUGCAGCCUUGUCAGAUGCAUUUAGUUGAUAAGAAAUUAUCAUUCACGGUUAAAGGUACUACUCAAAACGGCGAGAUUAUCUUGGCACCCGUAUUGUUGCAUUCCCCUUAUUACGUUUUGUAUUAUGAUCCCAAAAAAAAUGAUUUGAGAAAGGUUAGAAUCAGAGGAAUACCGAAACAAUGGUUUGGUAAGCUUGAUGACACCAACUUACUUUUUUAUUUCGAUCUUAUGGAUGAGAGUGAAAGUAUCCUGCACUUGGAAAUUUGAAAUUGCCAUGUCGACAUUUCUUACCUUCAAUACAUUGGGAACUAUUUAUUUUGUAAUUUUGUUUUAUUUAUGUUGAUUGUUUUUUUUUUUUUUUGAUAUUUUGAAUUUUGAACUUACCUUUGUUUUUUAUGGUGACAAAAUUGACUUUGAUCAAAAAUCAUCUUACUAAGAAGAAUAAGAAACAUGGUAGCUAGUAUAUUAUGAUUUAUUGAUUGAUUUCACAGCCCUAAGAUUAAAUGAAAACUAACCUCAACUGUUAGAUUAAAAAGAUGACAUCAGCAGACCCAAAAAAGUGGGUUUGCUGUUUAAUUGAACUACUGAUUUAUUUUUACCUACCUUUGUUUGUUUGAAUUUCAAAUCACAUAACAAGUAUACGAGGUAUGUUAAUCUCAUAUGCAAGAUAGAGUCUCUUGCUAGAGACAUUUAGAUCUAUGAUGGUCUUUCAUUGGCAAAGUUAGCAUCUUUCAGCCAAUUGCUUUUCUAUUGACCAUGUCAUGAUCAUAAUCGGAGCAAGAGUUGCCGGUAUAGAGUUUGUCAGUUACUAUUCCUAUCAUCUUUCUUGUGCAUGUAGAGAUGAUGAAUUUUAAGUAACUAAUCACUAUGAAGGGAGAAAGAGAAGAGAAUGAUCAUAAGCUCUCACAAUCUCCUAAACGUAAGUGCUGCCUUGAAAUAAUAGCCGGUGAUAUCAAUAUUCCUUUCGAUCUGACGGUGGAGAUACUGAAGAAACUCCCGGCCAAGUCUCUUGUGAGAUUCUAAUGCGUCUCCAAGCAAUGGUCAACCAUAAUCGGCUCCCGGAAAACUCCCGGCCAAGUCUUCUUCUCAUCAUCUCACAUUUCUCUCUUCUACAAUAUUUCUCUCUCUAGAUUCUGUUCAGGAACUUGUCUUAAAAACUCUCACUCUCCCCCAAACUUAACAAACAUACAAGCAAAACACCCAAUGGGUCUCACUUCUCUUCAAGUUUGCAUGGAUUCGGAUUGGCUCCAGGUAUUUUCACUUAGACUUCCAUCGUUUGUAUUUGUGUUUCUUUUCCAAAUAUGAACAUAAGACUUCACACAUUGCAAGCAAAAAUUCCUUUGUUAAUUAGUUUUAAAAAGUAAAUGUCAAAUACGAAUGGAAGAUCUGUUUGUGUUUGACACGUACUUAAAAAUUGAAAAUAUUUUCCAUUUUAAAUGUGACUUAUUUUUUGUUUUAAUGAAUUUGUUUUGUCCCAUUUAAGUGCACAAUUUAAAAAACAAAAAUUAGGAUUGAAACAAUUUAGAUCUUAUUAAUUACUCCUCUUGAACCAUCGUUUUUGGCGUGCAUGGUGAUGCAUAUUAUGUACCAUACAACUUCGAUUGUAUAGAUUACAAAGCGUAACCUUACCCGCCAUCAAAUUCAACAUCUUUGUUCAAGGAAAUGAUCAUAGUGUCCUCUACUUCUUGGGACACGAUCCUGUUCUUGAUCAAUACAAAGUAGUUUGUAAUUUUGUGUCAUCAUCUUCACAAGAUUUGGACAUGAUAAACUUGGAGCAUUGGGUCUUCGUACUAGAAGUUGGAGAUUCUUGGAAAAGAAUAGAGUUUGAUCAACCUCAUAUAUCUACAAGACCUGGACUGUGCAUCGGUGGAGUUAUAUAUUAUCUUGCUUUCACUAGUAUGUUUGAGGAUAUCGUUGUCAGCUUUGACGUUAGAUCUGAAGAAUUUAACAUAAUCCAAGCGCCUCUUGUGGUGUCUGCAUAUGUUGGCUCUCUGGGUUUUAUAGAGUAUGGUGGGAAACCAGCUAUUUUUUAUCAUACUAGUCUUAAAGAAAACGGUUUGGUGGACUUAUGGGUCUUGGAAAUGCUGGAAACUGGUCGAGGAAAGCUUUGAGUUUGCAGCCUUCUCAGCUGCUUUAGUUGAUAACGACAUUCUAUUGACGGUAGAAGAUACAACUCAAAACGGCGAGGUUAUCUUGGUACCAAGUGAGUUGUGUUCCCCUUUUACAUUCUCUAUUAUGAUAUACUGAAGAAUGAUUGGAGGAAGGUUGAAAUCAAAGGAAUGCCGGACCAUAAGAAGGUUGGGAUCAAAGGAAUACCGGACUUUGGUUUCAAACUUAUGGAUAACAGUGAAAGCAUCAUCCACUUGGAAACUUGAAUACUAUUACUUGUUUUUUUGUUAUUUCUUUUCUUCUCAUUCCAAGCUAAGAUUAUCAUAUUAUCUUAUUAUUUUUCGCCUUUAAUAAUACAAUGCAACUAUUUUAUUUUGUUAUUUUAAUUUUAGGCAACAAACAAUCGUUUAAUAUGUGUUAUUCAAUUUUAUUUUAAAAUCAUCAAGUAAGAUUGGAUUUAAUCGCAGAGGUUACAUGUUCUGUAUAUCAAAUCAAGAACAAGUUUUAGAACCCUUGUGGAUAUAUAUAAGCUUUUGUUUCAAGUAGAAAUGAAUAUAUAUAUAUAUAUAUAUAUAUAUAUAUAUAUAUUUUUCUGUUUUUUGUUUUUCCUUUAAGCAUUCAUCAAUUGUGUAAAAAAAUCUCUGGAAGUGCUUUUAGUAUGUAAAGAAGUUAUCUACCUAAAGAAGUUUACCCUAUAGCCCAUGUUUCUUUGAUAAACCGGUACUAGAAUAACAUUUUUGAAGAGUCAGUGGCUCAACAUGUCCAUGUUUCUUUAAAUAUCGAUUCUCAAUGCCUUGAAUUCAACAGGUCCUUAAUUAUAAGUAUAUCGUAUGGCCAGGUCGGAGAUUUGACCUCAGGUAAAUGAAAGUAUUGUCUGAGGGUAGGAUUAUACAUUGUGACCAAAUGACGUCUUAUGAUCACCGAACAACAUUGUAAGCCGCAGACUUAUCGAUACUCAACACUUUCGAAAGGGAUUAUUACUUAAGGUGCGAGUUUUUGUUUCUUUGUGUAGGCGAGAAGAAUAAGACAUGGUUGUCACUAAACCAAUGGUGAAGUGGGAACGUUGGAGCCUUGCAGGUUAUUCAAAGAACGAGGCACGAUCUAGUCAAUGAAGACGCAUCACAACCUCACGAGGGGGACUUUGCUAGGAUUGUCUUGAGUAUCUCAACCGUUUACUCGAGAGAGAUAUUGAUAUCGUUGAGAUUUUAAGACUAAAGUUCAGAGCCGACUUGCUCUGAUACCAAUUCAAAUCAAGAUCACAUUAUUUUGACUGCUCUGAUUAAGUUACUGAAUGAUUCAGAAAGUGAUUCAGCAACACGAGAACAAGAGAUUAAAGAAUAACCUUUCUUUAUUGAUUUAGAAACUUCACAAAACUAAAUCUCUCUCUUCUGUCCUCUCUGAGGUCUUAUGGAACAACUCUCCAUAGCCUCUCAUAUAUAGAACUUAUCUACCCUAAGUCUAUAUGAGUCUCAGAUCUGUCUCAACACCUCCACGUGUCUUAACUCUCAUCUUCGGAUGGUGGAGCUCCUCUGGUAGCAGAACUCCCCCCGAGCUGUUCUGAGCUCACCCCGAGCUAUUCGAGCUCCCCUGGGCUAUUCGAGCUCCCCGAGCUACACUAAGCUCUUUGAGCUUUCUCUCAAGCUCUCUCUCUUCUUCUUCACGAGCUCUCCUCUUGAGCUGCCUUCACGAGCUCCCUCUGAGCUGCUCUCACGAGCUCUCCUCUGAGCUACCUCUGAGCUACCCUCUGAGCUACUUCGGCUAUACGAGCUACUCAAGCUCCUUGAGCUCCUCUGAGCUACACGAGCUCCCCGCUUGAGCUGCACGAGCUCCCCUGCUGAGCUGCCUCUCUUGUUCUUCAUAAGGCUCUUAUUUAUACUAGAACCAAGCUUCUUCUUUUCCUAUUGUGAAUAGGAAGACUUACAAAUCUUGUCCAACUUGAUAUUAUUUGUAUUUCCUUUUCUCUUGAUUUCCUUUCUUGGAUUUCCUUUCUUGUAUCUCUUCUAGCAUCUUCUAGAAGGAGAUAACUUGCUCCUCAAGUUAGUUGGAAUUAUCCAACAUUCUCCCCCUUAAUUCCAACUUGAAUUCCGGGAAACUUGAUUCUCGCCAAUGCCUUAGUAAGUGUGUCCGCCUUCUGCUCCACACCUUGAACAUUCUCAACUUCAACCUUUGUUGAGAUACAAUCUCUUGCUCCUCCUUAGCUUUUGAGAUCUUCAAAUUUGACUGCAUCUUAGUAUCCACAAGCAUUCCUUGAGCAUCUCCCUCUUGUUCUGCUCCUUGAAUUACUUCUUGUACUAGUGCUUGUACUACUUCAACGAUUCCUUGAACACAACCUUCUUGUUCUGCUCCUUGAAUCACGUCUUGUACUACUUCAUGUAAUACUUCAUGUACUACUUCAGCGAGAAGUAUUCCUUGAGCACAAACCUCUUGUUCAACUCCUUGAAUAACUUCCUGUAGUACUCUCUGUACUACUUCAACGACUAGUACAGAAUACCCAAAUAUCAUAACCCGACUUGGUUUGAUAUUCUCUAGACCCCGACUUGGUUCUAGCAUCUCUAGAAUCUGACUUGAUUCUAGCAUCAUUAGAACCUGGCUUGGUUCCAAUAUUGACCAACCAUCUACCUUCUUGAGAUGCGGCCUCGUGAUCACACUUCUUGACCAAUCAUCUACCAUCUUGAGAUGCGGCCUCAUGAUCUUCUUAGCUUUUAGUAAGCUUGAAUGACGUUCGGCUUCUCCCCACAUAUCAUUCAGAAUCUUCAUUAGGUGCCUAGAGACUCCUCCUCUAUGCAACCUCAAAUCUUCAUUAGAUGCUUAGAGACUCCUCCUCUAUGCAACAUCCUCUCUUCAUUAAAUGCCUAGAGACUCCUCCUCUAUGCAAUAUCGAUUCUUCAUUAGACGCCUAGAGACUCCUCCUCUAUGCGUAAUCGAUUGAACUCCAUUAGAUGCUUAGAGACUCCUCCUCUAUGCAACAUCGAAUAUUCAUUAGACGCCUAGAGACUCCUCCUCUAUGCGUAAUCGAUUAAACUCCAUUAGAUCCUUAGAGACUCCUCCUCUAUGCAACAUCGAAUAUUCAUUAGACGCCUAGAGACUCCUCCUCUAUGCGUAAUCGAUUGAGCUCCAUAAACUCUCCUCCUUUAUCGGUGCGAAAGGUUUUGAUGGACAAGCCGGCUUGCUUCUCCACACACUCUUCAAACCUUUUGUACCGAUCGAAAACUUCAAUCGAUAUGUCAACAAGGAACCACAUGUUCUUGUUGAUCUUGGCUCGUCUCUCACUUUCAACAUAAGCUUGCUGGAAUAAUCCGGAAAUUGUUUCGGACUUCAGAACAUAGUCUUCAAGGUACUACAGCUGAUUCAAUUGUCGACCUGACCUUCUCAGUUGUGCUAGUCCUUGAACUACUUCACCAACCUCACCCUCGUGGUUGUCUUGAGUGAUAUCCUCCAUGACAUCAUCUGCUUCAUGUCCUUCUCCAGCAUCUUCUUCGCGAAUCAACUCAAAAACUUAUAUGACCUAACUGAGCAUGCCAUGUUCUUGUAGAUUCAUUAGCAAUUCAUUCAGUCAGUCCUUCAGCGAGUCCUUCAACGAGUCCUGCAGCAAGUCCUUCAGCAUGUCCCUCAGGAAGUCCUUCAGCUUGCAGACAUGUUGCCUUGCUUAUCUCCAAACAACUUGAUGCUGACCAGCCUUGUCGCAUCACUUUGGAUAAAUUCUGCUUUUGGUUGUGAUCACCGGUUACUCCUCCUUGAGAUUGCAAGACGGACCUUCCUUGUCCCAUGCCUCUGCCGGAACUGUCACCUCCAAAGCUUCCUCUACCAUAACCACCGUAGUUAUAGCUUCCUUUGUUAUAACGUCUUCUUGUUAUAACCGCCUCUGUUUCCUGCUCGAAACUUCCCGUAGCCUCCAUGCUUAGGGUUUGAGGUCCUUGGUCUUUACUUUGGAUUUCUUACUCAACACGUUCUUCAUACUCCAGUAACCUCCCAACAAUGUCUUCAAACCCCAUCCGCUUUAGGUCAAGAACUUGCUCCAGGGAUGCUACAAUAUGAAUGAUCUUGGUUCGUGGUUGUGGAUUCUCGCUUGCCAUACUUGUUUACGAGUCACGUACCACUGGUCUUGUCUAGAGUCUUCAAACUAAGCUCUAACACACCACAGGUCUUGUCCAGAGUCUUCAAACUAAGUUCUGAACUUGUACAGAGUCUUCAAACUAAGCUCUGCCAUACCAUAGGUCUCGUCUAGAGUCUUCAAACCAGAAGCUCUGAUACCAAAUAAAGUUCAGAGCCGACUUGCUCUGAUACCAAUUCAAAUCAAGAUCACCUUAUCUUGACUGCUCUGAUUAAGUUACUGAAUGAUUCAGAAAGUGAUUCAGCAACACGAGAACAAGAGAUUAAAGAAUAACCUUUCUUUAUUGAUUUAGAAACUUCACAAAACGAAAUCUCUCUCUUCUGUCCUCUCUGAGGUCUUAUGGAACAACUCUCCAUAGCCUCUCAUAUAUAGAACUUAUCUACCCCUAAGCCUAUAUGAGUCUCUUUCUCUAGACUCUCAUGAGAUCUGUCUCAACACCUCCACGUGUCUUAACUCUCAUCUUCGGAUGCUGGAGCUUCUCUGGUAGCAGAACUCCCCCCGAGCUGUUCUGAGCUCACCCUGAGCUAUUCGAGCUCCCCUGGGCUAUUCGAGCUCCCCGAGCUACACUAAGCUCUUUGAGCUACACUAAGCUCUUUGAGCUUUCUCUCAAGCUCUCUCUCUUCUUCUUCACUAGCUCUCCUCUUGAGCUGCCUUCACGAGCUCUCCUCUGAGCUACCUCUGAGCUACCCUCUGAGCUACUUCGGCUAUACGAGCUACUCAAGCUCCUUGAGCUCCUCUGAGCUACACGAGCUCCCCGCUUGAGCUGCACGAGCUCCCCUGCUGAGCUGCCUCUCUUGUUCUUCAUAAAGCUCUUAUUUAUACUAGAACCAAGCUUCUUCUUUGCCUAUUGUGAAUAGGAAGACUUACAAAUCUUGUCCAACUUGACAUUAUUUGUAUUUCCUUUUCUCUUGAUUUCCUUUCUUGGAUUUCCUUUCUUGUAUCUCUUCUAGCAUCUUCUAGAAGAAGAUAACUUGCUCCUCAAGUUAGUUGGAAUUAUCCAACAAAGACCGUGAAGUUUCGGUUGCAUCCAUGUCAUAGAUUUUGGGGGGUCUUGUGCUCUUGAAAAUUCUGAAAAGUCUUGAGCUUCGCACCAGAUCCAAUGGUCCUGAAUCCGUUUUCUAAGAACGGAGAGAAUAUGACAUUGAUCACCGAGACCAGAUUUACAAUUACGAUAGAUCAAAUCAUGAGCUUUAUCUCUCCUUCAAGCAAUUCCAUAACCCCGACAGCAAAAGACGACGGCCAGCAGAAUAAGAAUCGCAGCUUCCAGAUUCAGAGAUCGUUGAUCCUUCUUGCUCUGAAUCAUCAAAAAAUGCUUCAACUUUGAGAAAUAGGAACUUUUGAUACAAACUUGAAAAAUCUUAAAGCUUUUGAAUUAGUUUUGUUUCUUGAGCUCCAAGUACAUAAUUAUAGCUAUGAAUAGAAUAGGGGAAUAAUCACAGAAAUGGAAAAAGGAACCGUUUGAAUUAACCUUUGAAUCCGUUUAGGUAGAAGCUGAAAUGACGAAAUUACCCCUUGAAUCCGUUUGCUUGCGGACAUCGAGAAUGUGUCAUUGUGUUGUAUCGAGUCUUCUUCUUCUUUGCGAGGCCACGACCGACACAUGUAACACGUUUUGUACGUAACCAUUUCAAUUUCUUAAAUGAAUUGUAGGUCAAUAUUUCUCUUAGUUAGAAUCCCAUAUGUGCAUAACUAAAUUAGUCGACAAACAAUGUUAAUGUGAUACAAUGAAUAUGUUAAAUUAGAUUAGUAUAGUUAACUCACCUAAAUCGUGUUUGACUUGCAUCAUUUCAAUCAAUGUCUUUAUAUGAAGUUAUUACUAACAAGUAACAACAUAUCGUCUUCUAAAUAUGAACUCUUAAUUUUCAACAAAUUGAGCUUUUUAUACGUUUUAAAGUCAUAUUAUAAGCAAACAAACAUGUAAACAAUACAAAAUAAUUAUAUUGAUUAAAAACAUAUCGUAAAGAAAUCUGAAAUUAAUCGCACUGUAAUACGUUUUAUGCGUAACCAUUUCAAUUUCUUAAAUAAAUAGUAUGUCAAUAUCUUUAUUAGUUAGAAUCCUAUAUCUAAAUUAGUCGACAAACAAUGUUAAUGUGAUACAUUGAAUAGGUUAAAUUAGAUUAAUUAACUCACCUAAAUCGUUACACUGUUUUGAAUAUUUAGAGCUGUCCAUAACCCCUAUUGAAAUAAUCCCGAUUAAACAAAAACCCUUAAUUCAAAUUAGCUUAGCUAGAGAUAUCCAAAUCUUAGCUAGAAAUAACCUUAAUCAUAAUCAUGCAUGUAUUUAAAGAUCUCUCAUUCAGAAACCCAUAAAUGGAUGAUGAAUCAAUGAAAAUUUGUUAUUGGGCUAUACUUAAUUUCAUGAACGAUGUAGGUCCAAUUAGAUACAUAAUACUAAAUGAAUGAUCUAUAAUUAUUAUUGUCCACCGAAAUUGUGAAACUUUUAAAUUUAUCAGCUAAAGUUUCCUUGAAAUAAAAGAAAAUAAAUUAUUUACAACUUUAUUUAAGAUCAACAUUUUCUACGUUUAAAAAAAAAAAAAAAGUAUAAGUGUUUGUUGUUUCUAGAAUUUUAGCAAAUCCUACAAUCGAUGAUGAUUAUUAAUGUUUUAGGGAAGUUAUUAUUACUAGGCCCAAAAAAUGUAUGGCCCAAGCGGGUUAGGCCCACAUUUUUGUAUAAAUAUAUAAUAAGAUUUUCCGCUUUCUCAACGCAUUUUACGGAUUUUGAAAAUUCAUUUCAUUUCAGAAAAAGAUUUUCGAAAAUGAAGAUGAGUAAGAUGCUCUGCUUGCGAAGGCGAUUUUCGAGAAGAGCAAGAGCUGGUAAAUUUUUCGACAUCUUCCUUCUUCAGAUGACCUAAAACUUGUUUCCGAGCAAGGAUUUUGUAGCGAUUUCGUGUUUAGAAGGAGGAUUUUGCUUUUGUUUUGUUGCUAAAAGUGUUCGUCGGAAGUGUUUUGAGUUUGGUAAAUCUGGAUCUGGUAACGAUGAACUAUUUGAUACUUGAACGAAACUCGAUUUCUGAAAUCAUAGACGACGAGAUUUUGAACCUAUCGAACACACUCAUUGAUGUUGUAUUCCGAUUUUGGUAUGGAUUCGUUGCUUAUUUUCUCUGCGUUGAUCUUAGGUGCGUGAUAGGAUUUUGAUUUCAGCUGUUUAUUCUCUCCGAUUUUCGCUAGAUCUGGUGAAUUUCUGAUUGGGCACUGUUGUACGAUGCUUGUUAGCUAGGUUCAGAUUCAUCGUUGCUUAUUUAUCUGCAUGAUUAGUUCUCUAUGUGUUUUUAGGUUUUGAUUCUCUCCGAUUUAGAUCUCUAUGUUAGGUUUAUGUGCUCUCUGAUUCAGGAUCUCGAUGUUUGAUUUUGCAAUUUGGUUUGUUGCUAAAUGUGUUCAUGGUUUGCGUUUAAUUUUGCUGUUUGUUUUGUUGCUAAUUGUGUUCCUGACAUGAGGCUUUCUUUUUACUAUUCUUGAAUUUUGUAGCUCCUCUCGUUGUCCCUGUGAAUGCCAAUCCUGUCCUUGUUGCUGUUGCUCAAGAGCAAGUUGCUCUCCCAGGUAUAACUCUCUUUCUUCCUUAGCUGCGUGAUAGGAUUUUGAUUUCAAGUGUUUAUGCUCUCUAAUCCUGAUCGUUGCUUAUUUAUCUGCGUGAUUGGUUCUCUAUGUGUUUUUAGGUUUUGAUUCUCUCCCAUUUAGAUCUCUAUGUUAGGUUUAUGUGCUCUCUGAUUCAGGAUCUCGAUGUUUGAUUUUGCAAUUUGUUUUGUUGCUAAAUGUGUUCAUGGUUUGCGUUUGAUUUUGCUGUUUGUUUUGUUGCUACAUGUGUUCCUGACAUGAGGCUGUAUUUUUACUAUUCUUGAAUUUUGUAGCUCCCCUUGUCGUCCCUGUGCAUGCCAAUCCUGUCCUUGUUGCUGUUGCUCAAGAGCAAGCUGCUCUCCCAGGUAUAACUCUCUUUCUUCCUUAGCUGCGUGAUAGGAUUUUGAUUUCAGGUGUUUAUGCUCUCUAAUCCUGAUCGUUGCUUAUUUAUCUGCGUGAUUGGUUCUCUCUGUGCUUUUAGGUUGUGAUUUUCUCCCAUUUAGAUCUCUAUGUUAGGUUUAUGUGCUCUCUGAUUCAGGAUCUCGAUGUUUGAUUUUGCAAUUUGUUUUGUUGCUAAAUGUGUUCAUGGUUUGUGUUUGAUUUUGCUGUUUGUUUCGUUGCUAAAUGUGCUCCUGAGGCUGUCUUUGUACUAUUCUUGAAUUUUGUAGCUCCUCUCGUCGUCCCUGUGCAUGCCAAUCCUGACCUUGUUGCUGUUGCUCAAGAGCAAGCUGCUCUCCAAGGUAUAACUCUCUUUCUUCCUUAAGUGCGUGAUAGGAUUUUGAUUUCAGGGGUUUAUUCUCUCAGAUUUUCGAUAGUUCUGGUAAAUUAUGAUUAGCACGGUUGUACGAUGCUUGUUAGCUAGGUUCAGAUUCAUCGUUGCUUAUUUAUCUGCAUGAUUAGUUCUCUAUGUGUUUUUAGGUUUUGAUUCUCUCCGAUUUAGAUCUCUAUGUUAGGUUUAUGUGCUCUCUGAUUCAGGAUCUCGAUGUUUGAAUUAAUUCUCUCUGAUCUUUAGGUAUUGAACUCUGUGUUUAGGAGAUUUUAUUUUAUAUCAUGUAUAUGUCUGUAGCUCUUGUGCGUCCUGACGUGAGGCUAUCUUUCAACUAUUCUUGAAUUUUGUAGCUCCUCUUGUCCCUGUUCAUGUUGCUCCAGAAGAAGCUGCUCUCCCAGGUAAACAACUCUUUCUUCUUUAGAUCUGAGUUGGUUAUUAUGAGGUUUUAAACUCUUUCUUUAGGUUCUGAAAUUUUACAAUUUGAAAUAGCAAAUCAAAAUAGUAUGAAAACAUUCUUACUUUAUUUCUCAGAUUUACCUCCGUCGUUUGAUAUGGUGGAUUCUGAUUAUUUCCUGUAUCUUUUUUUUUGUUUGUUGUGACAGGUCUGACUGUCAACAGAAACCAUCUGAUCAGAGAUCUCCCACGCCCUGUUCAACGUCCUCCUGUUGUGCAAGUGUCUCAGCCUCAACUUAGCCGGUCUGCAAGGAAAAAGCUCAAUAGAGGUCCUGGGACCAUGAGCCUCACUGCAGCACAGAAGAGGAUGUUUGGUCAUAGGAAGGGUAAGAAGAAGCACCGUCGUCGAAAGUAUGGUCAUAGCUAUUAAGCUCCCAGCCAGCAAAACAGGGAUGCAUCUUGCAGUGAGCUCAACAAGGAUUUCUAAACUCUCAUUAUAUCCUGUGAUUGAGCGAUACACUGGUUUUGGUUUGUGAUUUCGGAUUUACCAUGUGCACCUUUUGCAAAACAUGGAUUUAGAUUGCAGUGAGCUCAACAAGGAUUUCUAAACUCUCAUUAAAUCCUGUGAUUGAGCGAUACACUGGUUUUGGUUUGUGAUUUCAGAUUUACCAUGUGCACCUUCUGCAAAACAGGAAUAUACUUGGUGUCUGUUUUGGAUUUAAGUAAUAUCUGCUUCUCUCUUAAAUAUCUUGGUCUAUUGCAGGCAAAUAUCACUUCCAAAAUAUGUUGUCAAAUAAUCAGAUAUUUAGUCAUUGUAACCAAGCGAACACUGUUCACUGAUUCCUCUCUGAAAUUCUUCUUGUUCUUACAUUUGCUCAUCCGAUGACCUCCUGAUGCUUGAUAAGACGAAUAUAUCUUGUUGCAAAACCUGCAUUGAUGCUCAACGUUCUUCUUAUCAGAUUCAGUGAUCAUCUCAGUAUCUGAAUCAGAACACUCCAUAGCUCCUACUCCAAGCUCAGUUCUGUAAUACCCAGUUUUCCAAGUCACCAGCUUUUCGCAGUUUCCGCUGUUCCAAUUCAAUCUUUGUUCCCAAGAAACUCGCUGGUUCUUUCCAUGUCCCUUCCAUCAGUUUUUGCUCAUUACUCAAAGAACCAAAUUCACCUCCAUUUCGCAGCUUCUGCUGAUCCAAAACACACUUGUAUCCCAAGAAACUUGCUGGACCUUUGAAUGUAACAGGAGUAGUAAUCUCUUCUUUUAGCAUUCUUUGCUCAUUACUCAAAAACCCAGAUUCAAAUUCACCAGCUUUUCUUCGUUUCUGCUGAUCCAAUCUGUUAUCAUCUCUCAAGAAGCUAGCUGGUUCUUUCGAUGUUCCAUAACUACUAAACCUUUCUUCCAUAAAUCUUUGCUCAUCACUGAAAACCCCAUAUUCAAAUUCACCACCUUUUCGCGGUUUCUUGUUACGCAAACAACCCAAAUCAUAGCUACUUUUAGGUGUUUCAUGAAUCAUGAGUAACAUGUACUGCCUCAGCAAGAAGUUUCAGUCCGUCUACAAACUUGGGAGUACUCUCAGACAAUAGAAUCAAACAAUCCGCCACUUCUAAUUCUUCAUCAUUCGCAUCAAAAACAGAACGCGGUUCAAGAAAUGUACUAUACGAACAAGAAAAUGAAGUCUUCUUAUACCUAACAAGUCUCGAUCUUUUCUUCUUCCUCACAAAACUGAAGAUACGACACAGAGUCAUCAUGGAUUCUUCAUAAACCUUCUGGUUCGUCGAUAAAUGCAUCGUCGCUCGAUGAUUUGAAAAACAUUUCUCGUACCGAAACCCUUUUCCACAUUCUUCGCAUCGAAACAAAAUCUUCUUCAUUAGUUCCGGAGAUUCCAGGGUUUUCUUCUUCGGGUUUUCCCUUAUACCGUAGUAACAAGUAAAAUCUCGCUGUUGGUUUGUUGCGUGACUGAGUAAUCUUCAGAUUUCGCAGAGCUCCAUAGAUGGGUUUAUGUAGAAGAUCUUGGUGUUCUUCUUCCAUUUAGGCGCGAAAUACACGGGGUUUGUUGAUAAAGAAGAAGUCAAUGAAGACGAGGUAGAUGAUGUAGAGGUAGAUAAUAAAGCAACAAACCCAAGCCGGACUCAUUAUCAAAGAAACUCUCAGAUGAGUUGAAGAAAUAAGGAGGAUUAUGCUCUGUUUCUCGUCACUUUCCUGAGAAAUACUGAGAGAGAAAGUGUCGAAGAAACAGAGAAGCUUGAGACUAUCGAAUCAAACGAAAGAAUACAAACAUUUUGAGUUUCUGUGACUUUUCGGGAGAACAAGUGAGCGAGAGGAAUGGAGGAAACAGAGAGAAGCGGAGAAGAUAUAAGCACUGAGCGAAGUAACGUCGUGAAAGGGGCAUUAUAGUAAAUCGUCAAGAACAGAGGAGCGAAACUUUAUUUUUCGACUACAAGGUUCCCACGUGGCACAUCAUGACCGUGGAGGCGUCGACUAAAUUGGAAAAAUAAUUUAACAGAAUCUUUUACUCAUAUUAGAAACUGAAGUAGAAAUCCAGCUAGGGAAAGCUUUUAUAUUAUGAAAAUAAUACUCGAAAAGCUUUACAAUAUUUGAUAACCCAAGGUACAUAAUUACCAACAAAAACCAAACCUAAAAUCUCUGUUGGAAUUCAUAAAACCAAGAAAAAAAAGCGACAAUUAUUGAUCAAAACAUAGUUAAAGAUAUAUGGAAAAACUCAUGAGAAUUAGGAAAAAAUGGAGAAAAAAGCUAAGGAAGAGGUUUGGUUGUUGUUGAGGCAAGAGCAGGCAUGUCCUUGAGCCACUGGUCCAAUGGCUUACCAAUGGAGUAAACAAUAAACCCAAUCUGCCUGAGUUUAUCAGCGUCGACCACGUUUCUACCGUCAAAAACAAAAGCCGGUUUCUGCAUAUUCUCAAAGAUCCGUUGGAAAUCGAGUUUCUUGAACUCAUCCCACUCGGUUAAAAUGCAGAUA